GACGAACCGUCCAAACGUUAUUCGGAAUCACUGGGCUUAAAGGGUGCGUAGGCGGCGCGGAAAGUUGGGUGUGAAAUCCCUCGGCUCAACCGAGGAACUGCGCCCAAAACUACCGUGCUCGAGGGAGAUAGAGGUGAGCGGAACUUAGGGUGGAGCGGUGAAAUGCGUUGAUAUCCUAAGGAACACCGGUGGCGAAAGCGGCUCACUGGAUCUCUUCUGACGCUGAUGCACGAAAGCUAGGGUAGCGAACGGG
Molecule: ribosomal RNA, 253 nt
Filed under: uncultured bacterium
Lineage: Bacteria
Description: partial 16S ribosomal RNA
Rfam family: Bacterial small subunit ribosomal RNA
Source: RNAcentral